GGGCCCGCACAAGCGGUGGAGUAUGUGGUUUAAUUCGAUGCAACGCGAAGAACCUUACCAGGGUUUGACAUCCUGCGAAUCUCUUGGAAACGAGAGAGUGCCUUCGGGAGCGCAGUGACAGGUGGUGCAUGGCUGUCGUCAGCUCGUGUCGUGAGAUGUUGGGUUAAGUCCCGCAACGAGCGCAACCCACGUCUUUAGUUGCCAGCAUUCAGUUGGGCACUCUAGAGAGACCGCCGGUGAUAAACCGGAGGAAGGUGGGGAUGACGUCAAAUCAUCACGGCCCUUACGUCCUGGGCCACACACGUGCUACAAUGGUGGGGACAGAGAGCAGCCACUCCGCGAGGAGGAGCGAAUCUUCAAACCCCAUCACAGUUCGGAUCGCAGUCUGCAACUCGACUGCGUGAAGCUGGAAUCGCUAGUAAUCG
This 425-nucleotide ribosomal RNA is filed under the name uncultured bacterium. Its description in RNAcentral is "bacterial SSU rRNA". It matches the Rfam family "Bacterial small subunit ribosomal RNA", at positions 917 to 1344 of the family's 1533-position model. The record is from RNAcentral.